AGUGAACGCUGGCGGUAGGCCUAACACAUGCAAGUCGAACGGCAGCACAGUAAGAGCUUGCUCUUACGGGUGGCGAGUGGCGGACGGGUGAGGAAUACAUCGGAAUCUACUUUUUCGUGGGGGAUAACGUAGGGAAACUUACGCUAAUACCGCAUACGACCUCUGGGUGAAAGCAGGGGAUCUUCGGACCUUGCGCGAGUGAAUGAGCCGAUGUCGGAUUAGCUAGUUGGCGGGGUAAAGGCCCACCAAGGCGACGAUCCGUAGCUGGUCUGAGAGGAUGAUCAGCCACACUGGAACUGAGACACGGUCCAGACUCCUACGGGAGGCAGCAGUGGGGAAUAUUGGACAAUGGGCGCAAGCCUGAUCCAGCCAUACCGCGUGAGUGAAGAAGGCCUUCGGGUUGUAAAGCCCUUUUGUUGGGAAAGAAAAGCAGCAGGUUAAUACCCCGCUGUUCUGACGGUACCCAAAGAAUAAGCACCGGCUAACUUCGUG
Molecule: ribosomal RNA, 492 nt
Filed under: uncultured bacterium
Lineage: Bacteria
Description: partial 16S ribosomal RNA
Rfam family: Bacterial small subunit ribosomal RNA
Source: RNAcentral